ACUGCAUCCCUUUCUUUCAUUUUGUUACUUGGGAUUUCAGCCAGACACCGAGACUGAAGUGAUCAGCUGUUUUGUGUAAUCCCCCUCUCCUUUUUUUAUUUAAUGUAAAAUGGUCUGCUCUGCUUUGGUUUAGUCUCCUUUAGUGCUUACUGUGCUGGGGGAGGGGGCUAGUAGCUUACGUUUGCUUGCCUUCCUAAGUAAGGAAGCCUACCCUUCUCUCAGUGCCUUAGCUUGUUCACAUCAUUUUGGAAGACUGUUCUCAGUGAACUGGACCAGAGGAUUUAAUUCUUACAAUAUUUUGUCUGCAGUGAAAUAAUCCAGGAGUUGCUACUUCUUUUUGGACCAUGCAUCAAGUGAACUCUACAAGAUACAACUGAAUUGUAACGUUCUGCAGAAGUGAAGCUUGCAGCAGUACAGUUUUCAGACAUCUGAAUCCGGAGUGAGACUGCUGUGCAAGAAGGUCUCAAUGCCAUAAAUUCUCCAACUCGGUGAACUCCAAGGUUUUGAAUCUGCAACUGCCAGUUUUGUUUCACCAGCUUUUCAAGUGAUUACAGAGACUUUCCAACUAUCUACAAUAAGCAUUCUGGCCACCUGCCUCUCUAUC
Protopterus annectens (West African lungfish) is the source of this 604-nucleotide long non-coding RNA. RefSeq lists it as uncharacterized. The record is from RefSeq and is a predicted model, not a curated record. The transcript is spliced from 3 exons. Lineage: Eukaryota; Metazoa; Chordata; Ceratodontiformes; Protopteridae.